GGGGGGGGGGGGGGGGGGGGCGGGGGGAGGCGGGGCGAGGGGGGGCGCGGGGGCUGGCGCCGGGGGGAGGGUGGCGGACGGGUGGGGAAUACAUCGGAGGGUGUCCUGUGGUGGUGGAGAGCCCGGGGAACGCCGGAUUAAUACCGCAUAAGAUCUGCGGCUCACAGCGGGGGACCGUCGGGCCUCGCGCUAUAGGGUUGGCCGCUGGCUGAUUAGCUAGUUGGUUGGGUAACGGCCUACCAAGGCGACGAUCAGUAGCUGGUCUGAGAGGACGACCAGCAACACUGGGACUGAGACACGGCCCAGACUCCUACGGGAGGCAGCAGUGGGGAAUUUUGGACAAUGGGCGAAAGCCUGAUCCAGCAAUGCCGCGUGUGUGAAGAAGGCCUUCGGGUUGUAAAGCACUUUUGUCCGGAAAGAAAUCCUUGGCCCUAAUACGGUCGGGGGAUGACGGUACCGGAAGAAUAAGCACCGGCUAACUACGUG
This 486-nucleotide ribosomal RNA is filed under the name uncultured bacterium. Its description in RNAcentral is "partial 16S ribosomal RNA". It matches the Rfam family "Bacterial small subunit ribosomal RNA", at positions 39 to 507 of the family's 1533-position model. The record is from RNAcentral.